This 467-nucleotide ribosomal RNA is filed under the name uncultured bacterium. RNAcentral's name for it is "partial 16S ribosomal RNA". It matches the Rfam family "Bacterial small subunit ribosomal RNA", at positions 28 to 506 of the family's 1533-position model. The record is from RNAcentral.
GACGAACGCUGGCGGCGUGCUUAACACAUGCAAGUCGAACGGAAAGGCCCUGCUUUUGUGGGGUGCUCGAGUGGCGAACGGGUGAGUAACACGUGAGUAACCUGCCCUUGACUUUGGGAUAACUUCAGGAAACUGGGGCUAAUACCGGAUAGGAGCUCCUGCUGCAUGGUGGGGGUUGGAAAGUUUCGGCGGUUGGGGAUGGACUCGCGGCUUAUCAGCUUGUUGGUGGGGUAGUGGCUUACCAAGGCUUUGACGGGUAGCCGGCCUGAGAGGGUGACCGGCCACAUUGGGACUGAGAUACGGCCCAGACUCCGACGGGAGGCAGCAGUGGGGAAUAUUGCACAAUGGGCGGAAGCCUGAUGCAGCAACGCCGCGUGCGGGAUGACGGCCUUCGGGUUGUAAACCGCUUUCGCCUGUGACGAAGCGUGAGUGACGGUAAUGGGGAAAGAAGCACCGGCUAACUACGU